Xenopus tropicalis (tropical clawed frog) is the source of this 207-nucleotide long non-coding RNA. RefSeq lists it as uncharacterized. NCBI's taxonomy places the organism in Eukaryota, Metazoa, Chordata, Amphibia, Anura, Pipidae. The record is from RefSeq and is a predicted model, not a curated record. The transcript has 2 exons.
ACCUCAAUUCCAGAAACUACAACAACCCUUUCAACAACAUCAAGUCCAACAACUACAACAUCUACAUCCACUUCAGAGACCACAACAAGUAUUACAACUACUACAUCAACUUCCACCUUCAUACCAGAUUGUUAUUACUGUACGUCAACUGAAUGGAUUGAUGUAAGCUCGCCAAAACAUGACAUAACUGGAGAUAUUGAAUCUUUU